CCUACGGGAGGCAGCAGUGAGGAAUAUUGGUCAAUGGGCGCGAGCCUGAACCAGCCAAGUAGCGUGAAGGAUGACUGCCCUACGGGUUGUAAACUUCUUUUAUAAAGGAAUAUAGUGAGGCACGUGUGCCUUUUUGUAUGUACUUUAUGAAUAAGGCUCGGCUAACUCUGUGCAAGCAGCCGCGGUAAUACGGAGGAUCCGAGCGUUAUCCGGAUUUUUUGGGUAUAAAGGGAGCGUAGAUGGGUUGUUAAGUCAGUUGUGAAAGUUUGCGGCUCAACAGUAAAAUUGCAAUUGAUACUGGCAGCCUUGAGUACAGUUGAGGUAGGCGGAAUUCGUGGUGUAGCGGUGAAAUGCUUAGAUAUCACGAAGAACUCCGAUUGCGAAGGCAGCCUACUAAACUGCCACUGACAUUGAUGCUCGAAAGUGUAGGUAUCAAACAGGAUUAGAUACCCUUGUAGUC
This 460-nucleotide ribosomal RNA is filed under the name uncultured bacterium. RNAcentral describes it as "partial 16S ribosomal RNA". It matches the Rfam family "Bacterial small subunit ribosomal RNA", at positions 338 to 795 of the family's 1533-position model. The record is from RNAcentral.